RNAcentral lists this ribosomal RNA (324 nucleotides) under uncultured bacterium. RNAcentral's name for it is "bacterial SSU rRNA". It matches the Rfam family "Bacterial small subunit ribosomal RNA", at positions 173 to 515 of the family's 1533-position model. The record is from RNAcentral.
GUUUCCGGAACUUCGGUUCUGGAAAGAAAGCAAUACCGUGGGUAUUGCGCUCAUGGAUGGGCUCAUGUCCUAUCAGCUUGUUGGUGAGGUAAUGGCUCACCAAGGCUUCGACGGGUAGCUGGUCUGAGAGGACGAUCAGCCACACUGGCACUGCGACACGGGCCAGACUCCUACGGGAGGCAGCAGUAAGGAAUAUUGCGCAAUGGACGAAAGUCUGACGCAGCGACGCCGCGUGGGGGAUGAAGGUCUUCGGAUUGUAAACCCCUUUCGGGAGGGAAGAUGGAGUGGGUAACCACUUGCCACGGCUAACUUCGUGCCAGCAGC